GACCAAACCAGUUUCGGAAUCGAUCAAAGCCGCUCUCCAAUUAUUCCCCAUCUGUUGAAUCACUCGUUUCCUGAAGAAAGGCUCAAAGACUCGGUGGUGGAGCUCCAGUUUACAUGGCCGCCGUCCUCCUCGCUGCUGAAGUGUUACAGCUUGCUGCGAGAGACAACAAGACGUCGAAGAUAAUUCUCAGUCAUGGAAUGAUGAAGCUUUUACCAAAUUUCUCUUUUUUUCUUUCUUUUUUUGGUGUCAAACCUUUUUUUAGA
Molecule: long non-coding RNA, 263 nt
Organism: Raphanus sativus (radish)
Lineage: Eukaryota; Viridiplantae; Streptophyta; Magnoliopsida; Brassicales; Brassicaceae
Exons: 2
Source: RefSeq, a predicted model, not a curated record